AGAAGAAGAAGAAGAAGAAGAAGAAGAAGAAGAAGAAGAACCCGGACAGGUCCAAUAGGUUCUGGCACUGGUCAGAUCUUGUGUAGCUGUGUCAAUAUAUCAAUGCGGGACUUUAACAGAACACAUGUCGUGACGUAACUCCUCCUUCCCGCUACAGUUUCUAAUAUAGUUCGUUAUCACUGUAAUGGAACACAUUAUUUUGCUCCAGACUGAACCGGGUCCAGUGGACUUCAGCUCGAGUUCACACUGAACCUUCACAGAAACGACUCAUCAGUUCAAUUCAGGGGGAACAUAUGGGGGGAGAGUUCCAAGGCCAAA
This is a long non-coding RNA of Acanthopagrus latus (yellowfin seabream), 318 nucleotides long. RefSeq lists it as uncharacterized. The transcript has 4 exons. The record is from RefSeq and is a predicted model, not a curated record. Lineage: Eukaryota; Metazoa; Chordata; Actinopteri; Spariformes; Sparidae.